CCAGGCCUUGACAUGCAGAGAACUUUCCAGAGAUGGAUUGGUGCCUUCGGGAACUCUGACACAGGUGCUGCAUGGCUGCCGUCAGCUCGUGUCGUGAGAUGUUGGGUUAAGUCCCGUAACGAGCGCAACCCUUGUCCUUAGUUACCAGCACGUUAUGGUGGGCACUCUAAGGAGACUGCCGGUGACAAACCGGAGGAAGGUGGGGAUGACGUCAAGUCAUCAUGGCCCUUACGGCCUGGGCUACACACGUGCUACAAUGGUCGGUACAAAGGGUUGCCAAGCCGCGAGGUGGAGCUAAUCCCAUAAAACCGAUCGUAGUCCGGAUCGCAGUCUGCAACUCGACUGCGUGAAGUCGGAAUCGCUAGUAAUCGUGAAUCAGAAUGUCACGGUGAAUACGUUCCCGGGCCUU
Molecule: ribosomal RNA, 409 nt
Filed under: uncultured Pseudomonas sp.
Lineage: Bacteria; Pseudomonadati; Pseudomonadota; Gammaproteobacteria; Pseudomonadales; Pseudomonadaceae
Description: bacterial SSU rRNA
Rfam family: Bacterial small subunit ribosomal RNA
Source: RNAcentral